This 224-nucleotide non-coding RNA is filed under the name unclassified sequences. The record is from Rfam.
GCGUGAUGCGUUAGGGCAAGAGGCAGCGCCAGAACUGCCAAAGUGAGCGGCGCGUCCAUAGAAGCGCAAGUUCGUUUUGUGUCAGGAUGGCAUUGCCAAGCCGGUGGAAAGAACUCUACCAAUUCGGACGGAUGCGAAGUAAUGCAGACGGCCAUCCUGUGCAGCGCGUUCUGGUAAACAACUCUGGGGAAACCCGCUCGUGAACGAACCACGGGCGGCUUUUC